UACGUAGGGGGCAAGCGUUGUCCGGAAUCAUUGGGCGUAAAGCGCGUGUAGGCGGUUCAGUAAGUCUGCUGUGAAAGUCCAGGGCUCAACCCUGGGAUGCCGGUGGAUACUGCUGGGCUAGAGUACGGAAGAGGCGAGUGGAAUUCCCGGUGUAGCGGUGAAAUGCGCAGAUAUCGGGAGGAACACCAAUUGCGAAGGCAGCUCGCUGGGACGGUACUGACGCUGAGACGCGAAAGCGUGGGGAGCGAACAGG
This 253-nucleotide ribosomal RNA is filed under the name uncultured bacterium. RNAcentral describes it as "partial 16S ribosomal RNA". It matches the Rfam family "Bacterial small subunit ribosomal RNA", at positions 524 to 776 of the family's 1533-position model. The record is from RNAcentral.